CGGCCGCUGUGGCUCCACAUGGCGACCCCUCCCUGGAUGGCGAAGGUGCCCUCUAGCUCCUCCAACUGGAUGACGACUGAAGAGGCCCAGGCUCGGGAACCCCUCUCACCCUUGCCGAGCCCAGGGUAAUGCUUCAGGUAGCAGAGACAAAUGAAGACACUCGACCAUCUCUAAAUGCUACCAAACACAUAGAGUCUACUCUGAAUGCAGAUACUGCUCUCAUAAAAAUUCUGCAAAGGAGGAAGGGGUUGGUGCAGAACUGUUCCGAUGCUGAUCAACUGAGAUGCAAAACCCAUGUUCACAUCAUGAGUGAGUCUUCUAACUCGGACAAUGCAAUCAACAAAUUCUAAGACCAAAUUCCGGUGGCACUGGCUCCAAAGCUCCUGAGUGUGGAAGGAGGUGAACAGGGAAAAGCAGAGAGGACAAAAGUCACAUCCCCUCCCCACAGACCCAUACUGGGGAAGGGUGGAAGAUUUAGCUGCGAGUCAAGUUCAGAAUUUUGAUUAACAUCUUGGCAUGCACAUUCGAAUUUCAGAAUCAAGACUGUUGGCCAUAAAAAAUGACUAUAGCCUUGUGUAUUACCUGAACUGAGCAGUAAAAAAAAAGUCAUGGUCCUUCUGGGGCUUUUAUUCUGAGACAGGAACCCUGAACAGGCAGGAGAAAGGGAAUGUUGACAGAGAAACAAAGACAGUUGGCGACACACGCUGACCGCCAUGCGGACGUCCAUCAAACCCAGCACUGGCCCUGGGUACGUGCGCCUUUGCUAUUACCCCAAUACAUUUUCUUCUGCAGAGCAAGCAACAGAACACAUGCAGACCUUAAUAAAUACCACUGGGUAAUGUGACAAUGGCCAAACUCUCCUCACGGGGGAGAGAGUGUCCCCCAGUUUUGCUCCCUUUUAAUUUCCAGGGUUCAUAAGUAGCUCUAAAGCUUUGCUCUACAAGGUUGAUACAUACGAUAUUAAUGUUUCCCCUAAGCAGUAUAACAUAAAUAUAUUUGCUAUCUUG
Molecule: long non-coding RNA, 1007 nt
Filed under: Homo sapiens (human)
Lineage: Eukaryota; Metazoa; Chordata; Mammalia; Primates; Hominidae
Description: non-protein coding LINC01287:3
Source: RNAcentral